UACAGAGGUCUCAAGCGUUGUUCGGAUUCAUUGGGCGUAAAGGGUGCGUAGGCGGCGCGGUAAGUCGGGUGUGAAAUCUCGGAGCUUAACUCCGAAACUGCAUUCGAUACUGCCGUGCUUGAGGACUGGAGAGGAGACUGGAAUUUACGGUGUAGCGGUGAAAUGCGCAGAUAAUCAGGAGGAACACCGGUGGCGAAGGCGGGUCUCUGGGCCGUAACUGGACGCUGAGGAGCGAAAGCGUGGGGAGCGAACAGG
This 255-nucleotide ribosomal RNA is filed under the name uncultured bacterium. RNAcentral describes it as "partial 16S ribosomal RNA". It matches the Rfam family "Bacterial small subunit ribosomal RNA", at positions 524 to 776 of the family's 1533-position model. The record is from RNAcentral.